GACGAACGCUGGCGGCGUGCUUAACACAUGCAAGUCGAACGAAGAGCGACGGAAGCUUGCUUCUAUCCGUCUUAGGGGCGAACGGGUGAGUCACGCGUAAUCAACCUGCCCUUCAGAGGGGGACAACAGAAGGAGACGACAGCUAAUACCGCAUACGACCUAAUCACGGCAUCGAGGGUGGAUGAAAGGUGGCCGCGACAUGUCAGCUGUCACUGAAGGAGGGGGUUGCGGCUGAUGUGCAAGGUGGCGGGGUAACGGCCCACCACGGCGAUGAUCAGUAGCCGGUCUGAGUGGAUGGGCGGCCAGAUUGGGACGGUGACCCGCCCCAUUCUCCUUCGGGAGGCAGCCGUAGUGCAUCUUCCGCAAUGGGCGGAAGUCUGUCGGCGCAACGCCGCGGGAGUGAUGACGGCCGUCGGGUUGUAAAGCUCUGUUAACCGGUACGAAAGGCCUUCUUGCGAAUAGUGAGAAGGAUUGACGGUACCGGAAUAGAAAGCCACGGCUAACUACGUG
This 510-nucleotide ribosomal RNA is filed under the name uncultured bacterium. Its description in RNAcentral is "partial 16S ribosomal RNA". It matches the Rfam family "Bacterial small subunit ribosomal RNA", at positions 28 to 507 of the family's 1533-position model. The record is from RNAcentral.